UACGGAGGGGGCUAGCGUUGUUCGGAAUUACUGGGCGUAAAGCGCGCGUAGGCGGAUCUGCAAGUCGGGGGUGAAAUCCCGAGGCUCAACCUCGGAACUGCCUUCGAUACUGCGGGUCUCCGAGUCCGGGAGAGGUGAGUGGAAUUCCUAGUGUAGAGGUGAAAUUCGUAGAUAUUAGGAAGAACACCAGUGGCGAAGGCGGCUCACUGGCCCGGUACUGACGGCUGAGGCGCGAAAGCGUGGGGAGCAA
This 250-nucleotide ribosomal RNA is filed under the name uncultured bacterium. RNAcentral describes it as "partial 16S ribosomal RNA". It matches the Rfam family "Bacterial small subunit ribosomal RNA", at positions 524 to 771 of the family's 1533-position model. The record is from RNAcentral.